RNAcentral lists this ribosomal RNA (1188 nucleotides) under Triticum aestivum (bread wheat). RNAcentral describes it as "partial small subunit ribosomal RNA". The record is from RNAcentral. Lineage: Eukaryota; Viridiplantae; Streptophyta; Magnoliopsida; Poales; Poaceae.
AUGGAAGCGAAUAACACCAAUGUUCCAAAGGGUGUGAUUAAGGAUCAGUGGAUUACUCUGGUCAAUAAUUCGAUGACCCCAAAGGCACAGGGGAUAAGUGAGAAAAAUAGGAACAACUGUGCGAUGAGGAAGUCGAAACACACGGCUGGAACUAAGAGUUUUCCACGAGUUAGAGAACAGCUGAGACUAAAGGAUCCGGAAAAGAAGUACCCCCACAGGGUUGUCUUAUACAUGCAUACCCAUCAGCACAAAAGCGACAAGAAAAUGAAUGAACAAGUGGUUGAUUUGAAGAAACGGAUAGCAGCGAAUCCAGAUUUAGUAGAUACUAGUAGAGGAAAGACAGCAUGGAAAGGAGAUGUUUUGAAUGCAGUACUUGGCGCAGACAAGCCUGGACAUGUACAUGGCCUCGGACUAGUUCCGAAUCCAAAUCAAGUCUUUGAUGUGUCAACUUCACGCCACUUUCAGAAUAUACACCUUAGUUCAUUGGAGGAUACAUCGAAUGAAGAUCUUUUGGCUGUCAGACUUAAGAUGGAGAAGUUGGAGAAAAGAGUGGAAAACCAAGAUGCCGAAAUUCUGGAACUAAAAGGGAAGACAAAAAACUCUGAAGGACAGUUACAGGGUUCUUUGGAUCAGAUAUCUAAAUCUCGAGAUGUUCCUUCUAUUGCUAAGACAAUUUCAAAGAGAAAAAGAAUUUAUGGCGACGGUCAUAGUCAACAACUUGGUACUGUUGGGCAGCAGAAUAAUGUGAAGAGCAAGGAAACAUUUCUCGAUGACAGGGAGAUGCAACCAUCAUACAAACGUCCUCUUGUGGAUAGAGCAAUGAGUCUUUCAUCCAGGAUGAAAAUGUGCAACAAGAGAAGGAAAACACUAGUGCAGAUAAGGGUUCUUUGGGUGAGGAGUCUACAUCUCAAGAUGCUCUUUGUGUUGGCAAGACAAAUUCAAAACAGAAAAGCAAGGAAAACUUUCUCUAUGACAUGGAGAUGCAACCAUCAAACAAACGUCCUUCUAAGGAUAAGAACAAAGAUACUUCUAUCCAUGAUGAACAUGUGCAACAAGAGAAGGCAAACACUAGUGCAGAUAAGCUUCGUUGCCAGAACACUAGUAAGAUCUCAAGAGGAGCUAAUGCAACAAAGCAUGCCAAUAAACAACAAUGCAGUACAACAAAUUGCCUGGGUGCCGACUCGAUAG